Non-coding RNA from Vicugna pacos (alpaca), 2932 nucleotides. NCBI's taxonomy places the organism in Eukaryota, Metazoa, Chordata, Mammalia, Artiodactyla, Camelidae. The record is from RefSeq and is a predicted model, not a curated record.
GACAGUGGGGGACUCUGUUCGGCCCCACCACCGUGGGAGGCGGACGGGGGUGGCUGGGGGCUCUGAGGGACCCCUGUCACCUUGUCUUCUGCUCCUUGCCUCCCCCAAGGGCACCGUCCCUGCUUCCUCCCCGUCUCUCUGUCGUCCGUCUCUUGACCUGGUCAGCACGGAGCCCUGUCAGGGGUGGUUUGCCCCUGAUGUCAGCCGCUGUGCAAGCCCGGGGCCCUCCCCGCAUCCGCCCUCCCAGCUCAGCCUUGCUGGGUGGUGGUCUGGGCACCUCCCAAGAGAGCAGGUCUCUGACGACCUGGAGUGUCCCUUCCCCAGCUGGGGGCCGCGGGCACACGUGCCAGGGAGGAUGCCAGUCGUAAAGCACUUCUCUCUGUGAAGCCCACCAAGCCGGGGUUGCAGGAGGCCCCUCGGCCGGCCCGGCCUCUCCAGCAGCGGCAGCUUGGGUGCUUUGACCUUCCCGGUCCCCAGCCCCCCUGUUCUGGCCACCUCCGCAGCAGCUGCUUCCUCACGAUGGCCCUGGAGCAGUGCUGUCCUGGAGAACUUUCUGCAACUGUAAGGAUACCUUAGCUGCGACCCUGAGCUGUGGCCUGUGGCCCCUGCAUUGGGCCCGGCAGCCCAGAGGCCACAGUUUCCAACUGAAAACCCGUCAGCCCGAAUCGAGGGGGGAGGUGCGGGGGGGGCCAGGCAGGUCACCCCACUGCUGGGCAUCCAGCAGUCCAGGGGCUACACCACACUAUAGCCAGUGUGCCGGGGGUGUGUCUGUGUGACCCUGGAGCAGAAAAGGGGUGGUAGGGGUGUUUCCAGCCCAGAUGCCAGGGGAGCCCCUGGGAGCUGGGGUAGGGAGCCUGCGGGGACUGUCAGCUGCCAGCACUUCGCUGCACUGAUGCCAUCAGUGGUCACUGCCUCCCAGAGGUGAGAGAGCUGGACAGACACAAACCAGGCUUGUGAUGACAGCCAGAACGCGUCCACUAGAGACGUCCCAGAGAUGAAUCUAUGAGCACUUCAUCCAGACUAUAAGACAGAAACUGUUCUCUCAUUUUUCUCAACCGAGGGCUUCUGAGCGCCCUCUCUCUGCAGAGCGACUCUCUUUGCAGGUAAAGUGAACUGAUGGUUUUUCAGGUAGCCUCCUGAGCCUCCCGGCAAGGCAUUAAUGGCCCGGCACCCUGGUCUCUGCAUCAGGUGUCUCUGGGGAGGAAGCCAGAGCGCAGCAGGCCGCAGGGGGCUCACCUGUGUGUUGGCCUCACCCAGCGGGGUCCCUGGGCUGAGCCUGCAGGUCUCAAGACGUGAAUGCACCUCAAGUGAGGCCCAUGCUCACAUCCCCCACCUCGUAAGCAUCACAGCUGUCACUGCAGCGGGGCGAGUGACCUCCAGGAGCCCGGUCUGGUGCUCUGUGUCCUGUGCUUCCCUUCCUGCAGAAGGACAGUGUCCUCUGUCUCCGGGGACCCGCCCCGGCCCGCGCGUCCACUCGGUGCAGGUGGUGCUCUGGCCCGAAGCCCUCUCGUCCCGGACAUGUGUGGGCGCCGGCCCCACAUACGGCCUCCCACUCAGUUUUGUGUUUGCUCUCCUAGAAACUGCUGGCGGUGAGGGAGCUGUAUCCAAUUCUCUGCCACUGGGCUAAAACCUUCUGCCCACCCUCUCAGGGCCCCUGUGCGGCCCACGUUGGCUCCAGCAGGGCCCAGGCUCCUAGCUUCCAGGAAAGGUGCCAGUUAGCGGCCCUGGGAAGGGGCCGGUACCUCCAUCCCUGCUCUGCCAAGUGGACGCUGGGGACUAGGAGCCCCAGACAGUGUGCUUUCCCUGACGCCUCCCAGGACACGAAGAGGGCCGGCUCAGCCUGGGGCCAGAGCUCUCCGGACAGGACACUGCCAUUUGACCCCUGCCUGGGUGCACCAGGAUGCUAAGAUGCAGGCGCUCUGGACCCCAACUCUGGGGCAAAUGUGGGGAGCUUAUCCUGCACGAGGACUUCAAGUCUCCUGCAGCUGGCCACAAGGAUACCAAUUCAACGCCUGUAACAAACCACACGAAAGGAAGCUUACUUCAAAUGAAUGUUUUUUCCCCUCAGCUGUAUUGAUUUACAGAUGCUGCCCUGAAGGCAGAAUUUAUAGGAAAUUGUUUUCAAGCCUGUUUGUACAACUGGAAGGUCGUAUUUAUUUAAUGUACCUCAAGGUGUUUUCAUAAUGGUCAGUGUUUUAAUAAAAAUUAUUUCUGGCCCCUGUGUCUCCGAGGUUUCCUUGGAACCGAUGGAAGCUGAGAGCCGUGUGCACCGCCGGUGGCCGGGUCCUGAGGGUGGGCUCAGGCUGGGCGGCCAGCGAGCCUGGGCCUCCCGUGGACCGUGUAUUUCCUGGUGUCCUUCUGGAGACGGUCAGGCCCUGGGGGCAUGAGGGAGAGCGGGUAGGCGCCCAGACGCAGCAGGAGAUGCCGGGACCAAGACGGUGGCCAGAGUCAAAUCAGUGAUGGCAACGCUGCCGAGUCCUGUUACUUUGCAAGACAGACUAUUCAGUACCCACAGGCCUGGGCCAAAAAAAGAGACUUCCGGACAGAGUGACGUUGGUUCACACUGAGCUCCUCCGGUGGGCGGAACCAGACUACGGCACGCCGGGUCUACAAGCGCCAGUGCUGCCCGCGGGGGCAUCCGGCACGGCAGGCGCCGACCUUCCUGGUGUGGGUCUUGCUUCCGAGCGGGGAGCACAUGUGUGGCUGCGUGUCUGUAGAUGGGGACUGUGACUGGAGGGCCGGCACCAGGCUGCUCUCCUCGUCCCCAGAGGAGGCUGCCGCCCAGGGACGUCCCCAGCAAUCAAGGGACAGGCGAGCACAGGAGAGCAGGUGGUCACAGGCAUCCAAGAGCCCUCACGUCUGAAGAACGGCCUGUCAUCAGUAAAAAUCAAACGAGUGAUGUUGUCUAAAUAAAAGUGGAGGUUUGAGGGUG